UAAGGAAUAUUGCGCAAUGGGCGACAGCCUGACGCAGCGACGCCGCGUGGGGGAUGAAGGUCUUCGGAUUGUAAACCCCUUUCGGCAGGGAAGAUGGAACGGGUAACCGUUCGGACGGUACCUGCAGAAGCAGCCACGGCUAACUUCGUGCCAGCAGCCGCGGUAAUACGAAGGUGGCAAGCGUUGUUCGGAUUUACUGGGCGUACAGGGAGCGUAGGCGGUUGGGUAAGCCCUCCGUGAAAUCUCCGGGCCUAACCCGGAAAGUGCGGAGGGGACUGCUCGGCUAGAGGAUGGGAGAGGAGCGCGGAAUUCCCGGUGUAGCGGUGAAAUGCGUAGAGAUCGGCAGGAAGGCCGGUGGCGAAGGCGGCGCUCUGGAACAUAUCUGACGCUGAGGCUCGAAAGCGUGGGGAGCAAACAGGAUUAGAUACCCACGUAGUCCCUGAGCGGGCUGGCAAGGCGCAU
This 462-nucleotide ribosomal RNA is filed under the name uncultured bacterium. Its description in RNAcentral is "bacterial SSU rRNA". It matches the Rfam family "Bacterial small subunit ribosomal RNA", at positions 355 to 825 of the family's 1533-position model. The record is from RNAcentral.